Molecule: non-coding RNA, 30 nt
Filed under: Mus musculus (house mouse)
Lineage: Eukaryota; Metazoa; Chordata; Mammalia; Rodentia; Muridae
Also listed under: 1 other name
Source: RNAcentral
UCAUUUGACCACAAAGUUUGACUGCCAGGA